CCUACGGGUGGCUGCAGUGAGGAAUUUUGGUCAAUGGGAGAGAUCCUGAACCAGCCAAGCCGCGUGAGGGAAGACGGCCCUAUGGGUUGUAAACCCCUUUUGUCGGAGAACAAAACCCGGGACGUGUCCCGGACUGCGUGUAUCCGAAGAAAAAGCAUCGGCUAACCCCGUACCAGCAGCCGCGGCAAUACGGGGGAUGCGAGCGUUAUCCGGAUUUAUUGGGUUAAAGGGGUGCGUAGGCGGUCCGUUAAGUCAGCGGUAAAAUUGCGGGGCUCAACCUCGUCGAGCCGUUGAAACUGGCAGACUUGAGUUGGCGAGAGGUACGCGGAAUGCGCGGUGUAGCGGUGAAAUGCAUAGAUAUCGCGCAGAACUCCGGUUGCGAAGGCAGCGUACCGGCGCCAGACUGACGCUGAGGCACGAAAGCGUGGGGAGCGAACAGGAUUAGAUACCCUUGUAGUC
RNAcentral lists this ribosomal RNA (459 nucleotides) under uncultured bacterium. Its description in RNAcentral is "partial 16S ribosomal RNA". It matches the Rfam family "Bacterial small subunit ribosomal RNA", at positions 338 to 795 of the family's 1533-position model. The record is from RNAcentral.